RNAcentral lists this transfer RNA (66 nucleotides) under human gut metagenome. It matches the Rfam family "tRNA". From Rfam's summary of the family: Transfer RNA (tRNA) molecules are approximately 80 nucleotides in length. RNAcentral also lists the same sequence under 1 other name. The record is from RNAcentral.
GGAGUGGCACAGUUGGUAGCGCAGCUGAUUCGUAAUCAGCAGGUCGUGGGUUCAAGUCCCAUCUCC